This 497-nucleotide ribosomal RNA is filed under the name uncultured bacterium. RNAcentral describes it as "partial 16S ribosomal RNA". It matches the Rfam family "Bacterial small subunit ribosomal RNA", at positions 28 to 507 of the family's 1533-position model. The record is from RNAcentral.
GAUGAACGCUGGCGGCGUGCCUAAUACAUGCAAGUCGAGCGAACGGACGAGAAGCUUGCUUCUCUGAUGUUAGCGGCGGACGGGUGAGUAACACGUGGAUAACCUACCUAUAAGACUGGGAUAACUUCGGGAAACCGGAGCUAAUACCGGAUAAUAUUUUGAACCGCAUGGUUCAAAAGUGAAAGACGGUCUUGCUGUCACUUAUAGAUGGAUCCGCGCUGCAUUAGCUAGUUGGUAAGGUAACGGCUUACCAAGGCAACGAUGCAUAGCCGACCUGAGAGGGUGAUCGGCCAAACUGGAACUGAGACACGGGCCAGACUCCUACGGGAGGCAGCAGUAGGGAAUCUUCCGCAAUGGGCGAAAGCCUGACGGAGCAACGCCGCGUGAGUGAAGAAGGUAUUCGGAUCGUAAAACUCUGUUAUUAGGGAAGAACAUAUGUGUAAGUAAAUGUGCACAUCUUGAAGGUACCCAACCAGAAAGCCAAGGCCAACUACGUG